RNAcentral lists this ribosomal RNA (1369 nucleotides) under uncultured bacterium. Its description in RNAcentral is "bacterial SSU rRNA". It matches the Rfam family "Bacterial small subunit ribosomal RNA", at positions 28 to 1381 of the family's 1533-position model. The record is from RNAcentral.
GACGAACGCUGGCGGCGUGCCUAAUACAUGCAAGUAGAACGCUGAAGAGAGGAGCUUGCUCUUCUUGGAUGAGUUGCGAACGGGUGAGUAACGCGUAGGUAACCUGCCUUGUAGCGGGGGAUAACUAUUGGAAACGAUAGCUAAUACCGCAUAACAAUGGAUGACACAUGUCAUUUAUUUGAAAGGGGCAAUUGCUCCACUACAAGAUGGACCUGCGUUGUAUUAGCUAGUAGGUGAGGUAACGGCUCACCUAGGCGACGAUACAUAGCCGACCUGAGAGGGUGAUCGGCCACACUGGGACUGAGACACGGCCCAGACUCCUACGGGAGGCAGCAGUAGGGAAUCUUCGGCAAUGGGGGCAACCCUGACCGAGCAACGCCGCGUGAGUGAAGAAGGUUUUCGGAUCGUAAAGCUCUGUUGUAAGUCAAGAACGAGUGUGAGAGUGGAAAGUUCACACUGUGACGGUAGCUUACCAGAAAGGGACGGCUAACUACGUGCCAGCAGCCGCGGUAAUACGUAGGUCCCGAGCGUUGUCCGGAUUUAUUGGGCGUAAAGCGAGCGCAGGCGGUUUGAUAAGUCUGAAGUUAAAGGCUGUGGCUCAACCAUAGUUCGCUUUGGAAACUGUCAAACUUGAGUGCAGAAGGGGAGAGUGGAAUUCCAUGUGUAGCGGUGAAAUGCGUAGAUAUAUGGAGGAACACCGGUGGCGAGAGCGGCUCUCUGGUCUGUAACUGACGCUGAGGCUCGAAAGCGUGGGGAGCGAACAGGAUUAGAUACCCUGGUAGUCCACGCCGUAAACGAUGAGUGCUAGGUGUUGGAUCCUUUCCGGGAUUCAGUGCCGCAGCUAACGCAUUAAGCACUCCGCCUGGGGAGUACGACCGCAAGGUUGAAACUCAAAGGAAUUGACGGGGGCCCGCACAAGCGGUGGAGCAUGUGGUUUAAUUCGAAGCAACGCGAAGAACCUUACCAGGUCUUGACAUCCCGAUGCUAUUUCUAGAGAUAGAAAGUUACUUCGGUACAUCGGUGACAGGUGGUGCAUGGUUGUCGUCAGCUCGUGUCGUGAGAUGUUGGGUUAAGUCCCGCAACGAGCGCAACCCCUAUUGUUAGUUGCCAUCAUUCAGUUGGGCACUCUAGCGAGACUGCCGGUAAUAAACCGGAGGAAGGUGGGGAUGACGUCAAAUCAUCAUGCCCCUUAUGACCUGGGCUACACACGUGCUACAAUGGUUGGUACAACGAGUUGCGAGUCGGUGACGGCAAGCUAAUCUCUUAAAGCCAAUCUCAGUUCGGAUUGUAGGCUGCAACUCGCCUACAUGAAGUCGGAAUCGCUAGUAAUCGCGGAUCAGCACGCCGCGGUGAAUACGUUCCCGGGCCU